Molecule: ribosomal RNA, 253 nt
Filed under: uncultured bacterium
Lineage: Bacteria
Description: partial 16S ribosomal RNA
Rfam family: Bacterial small subunit ribosomal RNA
Source: RNAcentral
UACGGAGGGUGCAAACGUUGCUCGGAAUUAUUGGGCGUAAAGCGCACGUAGGCGGACCAUCAAGUCGGAUGUGAAAUCCCUCGGCUUAACCGAGGACGUGCAUUCGAAACUGAUGGCCUUGAGUACGAAAGAGGAUCGCGGAAUUCCCAGUGUAGCGGUGAAAUGCGUAGAUAUUGGGAGGAACACCAGUGGCGAAGGCGGCUCACUGGACCGGAACUGACGCUGAGGCGCGAAAGCGUGGGGAGCAAACAGG